AGCGAACGCUGGCGGCAGGCUUAACACAUGCAAGUCGAGCGGGCAUCCUUGUGGUGUCCGCGGCAGACGGGUGAGUAACGCGUGGGAACGUGCCCUUCGGUUCGGAAUAACUCAGGGAAACUUGAGCUAAUACCGGAUACGCCCUUUUGGGGAAAGGUUUACUGCCGAAGGAUCGGCCCGCGUCUGAUUAGCUAGUUGGUGAGGUUAUGGCUCACCGAGGCGACGAUCAGUAGCUGGUCUGAGAGGAUGAUCAGCCACACUGGGACUGAGACACGGCCCAGACUCCUACGGGAGGCAGCAGUGGGGAAUAUUGGACAAUGGGGGCAACCCUGAUCCAGCCAUGCCGCGUGAGUGAUGACGGCCUUAGGGUUGUAAAGCUCUUUUCUCCGGGACGAUAAUGACGGUACCGGAGGAAUAAGCCCCGGCUAACUUCGUG
This 436-nucleotide ribosomal RNA is filed under the name uncultured bacterium. RNAcentral describes it as "partial 16S ribosomal RNA". It matches the Rfam family "Bacterial small subunit ribosomal RNA", at positions 29 to 507 of the family's 1533-position model. The record is from RNAcentral.